AAAACUUUCAACAACGGAUCUCUAGGCUCUUGCAUCGAAUGAAGAACGCAGUGAAAUGCGAUAAGUAAUGUGAAUUGCAGAAUCUCGUGAAUCAUUGAAUCUUUGAACGCACAUUGCGCCCUAUGGUAUUCCAUAGGGCAUACCUGAUUUGAGCGUUAGCU
RNAcentral lists this ribosomal RNA (161 nucleotides) under uncultured fungus. RNAcentral's name for it is "5.8S ribosomal RNA". It matches the Rfam family "5.8S ribosomal RNA". From Rfam's summary of the family: 5.8S ribosomal RNA (5.8S rRNA) is a component of the large subunit of the eukaryotic ribosome. It is transcribed by RNA polymerase I as part of the 45S precursor that also contains 18S and 28S rRNA. The record is from RNAcentral. Lineage: Eukaryota; Fungi.